This 468-nucleotide ribosomal RNA is filed under the name uncultured bacterium. RNAcentral describes it as "partial 16S ribosomal RNA". It matches the Rfam family "Bacterial small subunit ribosomal RNA", at positions 28 to 507 of the family's 1533-position model. The record is from RNAcentral.
GACGAACGCUGGCGGCGUGCUUAACACAUGCAAGUCGAACGGAAAGGCCCUGCUUUUGUGGGGUGCUCGAGUGGCGAACGGGUGAGUAACACGUGAGUAACCUGCCCUUGACUUUGGGAUAACUUCAGGAAACUGGGGCUAAUACCGGAUAGGAGCUCCUGCUGCAUGGUGGGGGUUGGAAAGUUUCGGCGGUUGGGGAUGGACUCGCGGCUUAUCAGCUUGUUGGUGGGGUAGUGGCUUACCAAGGCUUUGACGGGUAGCCGGCCUGAGAGGGUGACCGGCCACAUUGGGACUGAGAUACGGCCCAGACUACUACGGGAGGCAGCAGUGGGGAAUAUUGCACAAUGGGCGGAAGCCUGAUGCAGUAACGCCGCGUGCGGGAUGACGGCCUUCGGGUUGUAUACCGCUUUCGCCUGUGACGAAGCGUGAGUGACGGUAAUGGGUAAAGAAGCACCGGCUAACUACGUG